RNAcentral lists this long non-coding RNA (1541 nucleotides) under Equus caballus (horse). Its description in RNAcentral is "lncRNA (ENSECAG00000053871.1)". The record is from RNAcentral. Lineage: Eukaryota; Metazoa; Chordata; Mammalia; Perissodactyla; Equidae.
GUUUCUAAAGAUUAGUCAUAGGAUUUGGAGAGAGAGAGAAUCGCAGAGAAAUGUGUCAUAUAUUCUAUUUCAACAAUUAUAUGGGCGUUUGCAUUCAAUUUUGUAAAUUUACAUCAAAAGUUGUAAGAUAAUAUGAUUAAUUGAUUUCGAUGCUUUCUGCUAGUUCUUUUACGGUGUGUCCCAUCACUGAGUUCUUUUCUGUUGCAGAAGAAGGCAGUCCUUCCUCCCUCCGCAUGACACAAGUCAGGGAAUUUAAACAGGAAGAGAAACAACUUCUUGUGUGUCUCCUUCUCACCCUUUUUCAUGUUGGCUAAGGAGUGCUGGGAAAACGUGCCCUCUUCCCCUUCCCAGCUGUCUUGCAGAUGUCUGCUUCACUGCACAUCAUGCAGUAUUUCAUCUCAGAGCUCCUUCCAGGCAUAUUGUGAUAACGGGUGAAAUCUGAGCCAGUUCACAAAGUGUAAGGACAUUCUACAAAUACUAAAAAUGCCCAUACACAAGAACAACAGGAAAGAGAAGCACCCAAAUGGAACACAGAAAAUGAUCCAGAAAAGUUUCUGGAGGCAGAAAUGGACACCAGGUGCCAAUUUUGCUUGCCUCUUCAUACUGAGAAAACGGAAAUGAUUCUAUUUGGUGGACACAGAGAUGUGUAAUCCACAUCCCCCUUCAAGCAAAGAGCCACUAACCCCAGCUGCUGGGAGAGCUGUCAGCAGAUAUCCUCCUGCAUUCAGCUCCUUCAGGAUCCGCCCCGCCUCACAAGAGUUCACCCUUCCAGAAGAAGCCCAAAUCCAAAGUCUGGUGUGGAAGCAAGUGGCCGUGGCAUAAAGGCACUGAGGGAUAAAUCCAGAGCUGUCUUUGGGGUUGAUGAAGACUUUGCCAGGUGGGACGCCUACCACAGCAUGGCUUUUGUCAAGCGGUGCCAUGUCUGCACCCAGGAUCCAAACCUGUGAAACCCGGGCCACCAAGAAGAGCAACGUGAGCACUUAACCACUGCGCCACCAGGCCAGCCCUUCUUCUCUGCAUUCUAAAAGCACGGUUCAUGUUAAGAAAUUAUAUUUUCAUUUCACCUCAGAUCAGAAGACCAGACAUGGAUCACUGGCCAUUCAUACCUCACCUGAUCCUAUUUAUAAGCCACUCUCACACUCACUGAGGACGGCAACAACCUCUAAACAAGCCGGAGGAAGGUCUCAACUCAAAGAAGAAAGAAAAAAUGCUUGUUCUGGAGAGAAAAUGGCUUAGGGAGAGCAUGGUGUGCUGUACUCACACUGGAGCAGCAGGCAAAGAACAUGCUGUACCUGCGAACAGACCGGCCAUUAGCAAGUGGAAGCACAGGGUUCUGCUUUGGGGUCCCAGUGGUCCCUACUACUAGCAAAAUGGCUCAAGAGUGUCAAGAUCAGCUACUUUUCCUAAGACACGUAGGCGUGGAGAAAUAACACUGAGGUGUACCUUUCUUUGAAAAUAUGAGAAAAAGGUGGAGAAUUCUCUGUACUGUGUAGUACUAAAAAUCAAAAUGAAUUUUGUCUACUAAUUUUGCCUAAUUUACU